RNAcentral lists this ribosomal RNA (372 nucleotides) under uncultured bacterium. Its description in RNAcentral is "bacterial SSU rRNA". It matches the Rfam family "Bacterial small subunit ribosomal RNA", at positions 29 to 391 of the family's 1533-position model. The record is from RNAcentral.
AACGAACGCUGGCGGCGCGCCUAAUACAUGCAAGUCGAGCGAGAAGACGUAGCAAUACGUUUGUAAAGCGGCGAACGGGUGAGGAAUACAUGGGUAACCUACCCUCGAGUGGGGAAUAACUAGCCGAAAGGUUAGCUAAUACCGCGUACGCUCCUUGGACUUCGGUUCAGGGAGGAAAGCGAUACCGUGGGUAUCGCGCUCUUGGAUGGGCUCAUGUCCUAUCAGCUUGUUGGUGAGGAACGGCUCACCAAGGCUUCGACGGGUAGCUGGUCUGAGAGGACGAUCAGCCACACUGGCACUGCGACACGGGCCAGACUCCUACGGGGGGCAGCAGUGGGGAAUCUUGGACAAUGGGCGCAAGCCUGAUCCAAG